Molecule: ribosomal RNA, 496 nt
Filed under: uncultured bacterium
Lineage: Bacteria
Description: partial 16S ribosomal RNA
Rfam family: Bacterial small subunit ribosomal RNA
Source: RNAcentral
GAUGAACGCUGGCGGCGUGCCUAAUACAUGCAAGUCGAACGCAGAGGGAAAGUUCUUUUCCCCUUUGGAUGAGCUGCGGAAGGGUGAGUAAACCGGGGGACAACCGCCUUCAAGGCUGGGGCAACCUUUUGAAAAGAGAGCUAAAAACGCAUUAAAACUUUAUACACAAUGUUAAAGAUUGAAAGAUGCCUUUGCCUUACCCAAGGAUGAUACCGCGUUGUCUUAGUUAGUUGGUGGGGUAAAGGCCCUCCAAGGCAAUGUUGCAUAGCCGACUUGAGAGGCUGAUCGGCCACAUUGGGACUGAGACACGGCCCAAACCCCUACGGGGGGCGGCGGUAGGGAAUCUUCCACAAUGGGCGAAAGCCUGAUGGAGCAACGCCGCGUGUUUGAUGAAGGCUUUCGGGUCGUAAACCACUGUUGUAUGGGAAGAACAGCUAGAAUAGGAAAUGCUCAUAGAUUGACGGUACCAUACCAGAAAGGGACGGCUAAAUACGUG